RNAcentral lists this ribosomal RNA (253 nucleotides) under uncultured bacterium. Its description in RNAcentral is "partial 16S ribosomal RNA". It matches the Rfam family "Archaeal small subunit ribosomal RNA", at positions 474 to 727 of the family's 1478-position model. The record is from RNAcentral.
UACCAGCACCCCGAGUGGUCGGGACGUUUAUUGGGCCUAAAGCAUCCGUAGCCGGUUCUACAAGUCUUCCGUUAAAUCCACCUGCUUAACAGAUGGGCUGCGGAAGAUACUAUGGAGCUAGGAGGCGGGAGAGGCAAGCGGUACUCGAUGGGUAGGGGUAAAAUCCGUUGAUCCAUUGAAGACCACCAGUGGCGAAGGCGGCUUGCCAGAACGCGCUCGACGGUGAGGGAUGAAAGCUGGGGGAGCGAACCGG